Molecule: ribosomal RNA, 253 nt
Filed under: uncultured bacterium
Lineage: Bacteria
Description: partial 16S ribosomal RNA
Rfam family: Bacterial small subunit ribosomal RNA
Source: RNAcentral
UACGUAGGGGGCAAGCGUUGUCCGGAUUUAUUGGGCGUAAAGAGCUCGUAGGUGGUUUGGUAAGUCGGAUGUGAAAACUCUGGGCUCAACCCAGAGCCUGCAUCCGAAACUGGCGAGCUAGAGUUCUGGAGGGGGUAGCGGAAUUCCUGGUGUAGCGGUGAAAUGCGUAGAUAUCAGGAGGAACACCGGUGGCGAAGGCGGCUACCUGGACAGAAACUGACGCUGAGGCGCGAAGGCCAGGGGAGCAAACGGG